RNAcentral lists this ribosomal RNA (497 nucleotides) under uncultured bacterium. RNAcentral describes it as "partial 16S ribosomal RNA". It matches the Rfam family "Bacterial small subunit ribosomal RNA", at positions 28 to 507 of the family's 1533-position model. The record is from RNAcentral.
GAUGAACGCUGGCGGCGUGCCUAAUACAUGCAAGUCGAGCGAACAGACGAGGAGCUUGCUCCUCUGACGUUAGCGGCGGACGGGUGAGUAACACGUGGAUAACCUACCUAUAAGACUGGGAUAACUUCGGGAAACCGGAGCUAAUCCCGGAUAAUAUAUUGAACCGCAUGGUUCAAUAGUGGAAGACGGUUUUGCUGUCACUUAUAGAUGGAUCUGCGCCGCAUUAGCUAGUUGGUAAGGUAACGGCUUACCAAGGCGACGAUGCGUAGCCGACCUGAGAGGGUGAUCGGCCACACGAGAACUGAGACACGGUCCAGACUCCUACGGGAGGCAGCAGUAGGGAAUCUUCCGCAGUGGGCGAAAGCCUGACGGAGCAACGCCGCGUGAGUGAUGAAGGUCUUCGGAUCGUAAAACUCUGUUAUUAGGGAAGAACAAAUGUGUAAGUAACUAUGCACGUCUUGACGGUACCUAAUCAGAAAGCCACGGCUAACUACGUG